RNAcentral lists this long non-coding RNA (753 nucleotides) under Coturnix japonica (Japanese quail). RNAcentral's name for it is "lncRNA (ENSCJPG00005014667.1)". The record is from RNAcentral. Lineage: Eukaryota; Metazoa; Chordata; Aves; Galliformes; Phasianidae.
GCUGCAUUCUUUCUCCUGGGAAGACUGUUUGCUGAAGGUUCUCUGAGCAUGCAUUCUGAAAGCAAGGAACCUUGGUGAGAAGUGUGCCACUGGAGCCUAGCUGUGCAGGUGGGAAGAACCAGCCAGAAAUGUGCCAGUGCAAGAGGGACUUCCCAUGCACUAUUUAGUGGGCAGAGCUUGCUGCAGCUGAGGAAGUCAUGGAAUCGGCAUCGUGAAGUGAUGGAGGAAUGCAGAAGAAAACAGAAUGAAUGAUCUGAAAAACAUCUUUAGAGGGUCUUUGACAUCCUUCAACCUUCUUGAAGUGAUAAACACCAAUAAAACAUGGAUGGAAAGAAAAACUUAGAAUUAUCUCAGGUGUCAUUUCCCUCCAGAUACUGGAACAGUAUUAAAAUCUUACAAAACAAACCUGUCAUUGAGAACUGCACACUUUCAAUAAAAUGCCAUACUGAAAUCUUGUUGAAUAGGAACCUGCAUUCUACCAUCGUCCAUCUGUUAUUUUUCAGGUCACAAAUUUUUAGUAUCCUUACUCUUCAUGAGGUAUUUCUCUCAACUAACUUUUUUAAUGACACAGCAAGAAUUGUGCCAGGAAAGUUUGUGUUCCUUUUGAUGUUCACGUUACUUCAGAAGCAUAUUUGAAACUUAACACUUGAUUUGUAUUAGUGGGCUGUUGUCUUUAACUAAUAACAUUAAUGAGAAAGUAUGAAUGUAUAGCAAAACUGCUUUAACUUUUAUGUAGCGGUGCUUGAAUUUAAU